This is a non-coding RNA of Acanthosepion pharaonis, 115 nucleotides long. NCBI's taxonomy places the organism in Eukaryota, Metazoa, Mollusca, Cephalopoda, Sepiida, Sepiidae. The record is from the annotation of a GenBank genome assembly.
UUACGGCCAUAUCACGUUGAACACACCGGUUCUCGUCCGAUCACCGAAGUUAAGCAACAUCGAGCCUGGUCAGUACUUAGAUGGGUGACCGCUUGGGAAUACCAGGUGCUGUAAG